AAAUAAAGCUCACGCAGACAGACAGAGUAUAGCAUGACCUGAGCCUUACGGUGUCCUCUUUUCUGUACCUGCAGGUGACCCCAGCAACCAGCGAGAGUGAUGCCUUGGAGGAAGACUUUGAUCCCACCAAAGGAGACAGCGCAGGAGGCACACCUCUCGCCGUGGUGACCUUGGCAAUCAGCGAGAGUGGUACUUAUUCUGAAAUCAGCCUCUUCCUGAGACAAAACUCUUGAUGGUAAUGCAGGUGGGGCAUCCUUGCAACCCUCAGUGUGGCGAGCCGCCCUGAUUGGGUUGUGGGGGUGUGUGGGGGACCAGAGAUUUCCCAGGUGAAAAAGUGUGUCCAUGUGUCUACAGUCCUAGGAAGCCAUUGUACUCCCUGUGUGUGGUGUGGGUAUGUGUGUGUGAGGUUUGGGGUUGUGGUGACUUUUCUGGCUCUAUGUGGUAUGAUUGUUUGUGCAUGUUUUUGUGUGGUAGAUAGGGAGAGUCAGACACAAAAAGAGAGAUGCAGAGAGGGAGAGAGAGAGAUGGAAAGAGUGAGAGAGAGAUUGCAUAUUUCUCCAGGAGGGGUAUCCCACUGCCACUGCACAAUGGCCAUUGUCCACAUUCAAAAAAAAAAAAAAGAAAGAAAGAAAGAAAGAAAAGACGCGAUAAAUAAAUCUUGUCACAGGGCACACAUUACAGCCCUAUUACCACGGGAGGCCAAGCGGUGGCAUUCAGCUCAUGCCUGGGAACCAAAUGCCUCCAUAUGCUCUAACCCCAUUCAUAGCGAGCAA
Molecule: long non-coding RNA, 773 nt
Organism: Ailuropoda melanoleuca (giant panda)
Lineage: Eukaryota; Metazoa; Chordata; Mammalia; Carnivora; Ursidae
Exons: 3
Source: RefSeq, a predicted model, not a curated record